GGGAAGCUGGUGCAACUGGUUGAGACACAAUGGAUUUAGGCUCCAUAAGUAGAAAUACUUCUAAGGGUUCGACUCCCUUGCUUCCUA
Molecule: transfer RNA, 87 nt
Filed under: Crassvirales sp.
Lineage: Duplodnaviria; Heunggongvirae; Uroviricota; Caudoviricetes; Crassvirales
Description: tRNA-Leu
Rfam family: tRNA
About the family: Transfer RNA (tRNA) molecules are approximately 80 nucleotides in length. Their secondary structure includes four short double-helical elements and three loops (D, anti-codon, and T loops).
Source: RNAcentral